Long non-coding RNA from Ipomoea nil (Japanese morning glory), 2711 nucleotides. RefSeq lists it as uncharacterized. NCBI's taxonomy places the organism in Eukaryota, Viridiplantae, Streptophyta, Magnoliopsida, Solanales, Convolvulaceae. The record is from RefSeq and is a predicted model, not a curated record. The transcript has 10 exons.
CUAAAAUCCCUAAAUCAAAUUUGAAAUCCCCGCGACCUACGACCUUCGUCUCCUCUAGUCCUCCCUGCUCCAUCCUGGUGACCUCCGUGUCGGCGUCUCUUCCAACCACCACCGGACCACCGCUCCAGUCUCUUGUCUCCACCAGCCCCUCAAAGUGUGUGCUCCAUCGCAACAGUCUCCAGUACUCCCUGAGUUCAGCAGUUCCUACGACCUCCGUCUCCACUGCCAUUGACCUCAGAAAAAGGAGAUUAUUAAGGAUUGAUAAUCGCUCAGUAAGAUAUGCCAAGAUCAAAAAGGUUCACGGAUAUGAGUCGGUCAAUGUCUCAUCAACAAUCUUCUUCACCAACACACGAGCAAUUGUUGAAUGAUGCACCACUUGAAGAACAAACCCAAAAUAAUGAAACACCUCAAGAGCAAGCUCAAGAUAGUGAGACACGACAAGACCAAAAUGAAUCUUCAUCUAAAAAGAAAACGAGGACUGCGUGGGAAGUUGAUGUGAUUAAUGAAGAAGGAUUUGUGAGGAAGAAAAAAUUGAAGGUUAAAGAAGUUUGGACACUCCCAUUGGGUGAAAAAAUCAUAGUCCCAUUUGACAACUUUGAUACACCAUCCACCGACGCAGCUGGAUUAUUUACUGGAACACUUGCAGGGUUGGCACAGGAAAGUAGCACAUUUCCAAUCAAUUUUACUGAUUGGAGAUUGAUGCCAAAGCAAUAUAAAGAAGAUACCUUUGCCAAAAUAAUCAAGCUAAAAUUUCACUUCCAAAAUGAUGAGUUAGCUGCAACUAAAGCUCAAUUGCAAGUUCAAAGUGAUAAAUUGCAAGUUCAAAGUGAUAUGCAAAAGGCCAUGGGAGGGGCUCUUGUUGCUAUUUUGGAAAGAACUUUUGGCAAAGUUCCUGAAGAAUUUGCUACCUUCCUUAACCAAACAUCUCAACCAGUACCCGAUGAUGGAAGCAAGCAACAAUCUUCACAAGGGAGUGGAAAGAAAAAUUCAUCCUCUAGUCAUCAUGUUAAUGGACAAUCUUCUACAUGAUAUGCAACUGUUGCAGAGGGACUCACAGUUGACGAGAUACUUGAAAACUGGAUGAAGAUAAAACCUGUAAUAGUGGAAGAAUGGAAUGAAAACAAAGAUGCUUUAAUUGAUCUUUUUGGUAAUGCCAGAACACCAGGGAAGGUGAUAGGGACAAAUUUAGCUCUCAAGUGAUCUUAUGUUAUUUUGACUAUUUGGACAAAUUUAAUGUUGUUGCUCUUUUUUCUCAGAACUAUUGGCUUCUUUUUUGAGUAAGUGAUAAACUCAUUAAGAUUGUGAUGAAAUUUGAACAUUUUGAAGUCAUUUAUCCACAGCUUAUUUUAUUUUAUUUUAAUUGAAAAAAGAUUUGUCAUUUAUCCACAAGCUCUUUUAUUUUAUUUUAUUGAAAAGAGAUAAAUCAUUUGGUACUCCAUGCAAUUUUUAAAACUAUUCAGACUUAUUCAAUAGACUUUUCAAUUAAUUAGAUCUUCAAGUUGGAAACAGAAACAUGUAAUGCAGAAAGGUGAUGUAAUAGAGAAGUACAAUUUUGUUAGGGCACAUGUCCUAACACUAGUCUUCUCAAAAGUGUAUAGUAGUGGAAAAGAAGAACAAAUUUAAGAAAUGGUAAUCUUAUCAAGCUUCUAUUUGAUUGUGAUGUAAAAAUUCUCAGUAGAAGAACUAUGAGUAAAAAUACAAGUGUUGAGUCCGCAGAGACUUUAGAGGUUUCAGGUUUUAGGGGUAAGGAAGUUGGAUGCUGAACAGGUUGCUGCUGGAUGGCCAUCCUGGCUUUCAGCUCAUGUUGGGGAAGCAAUUGAGGAUUGGCUUCCUAGACGGGCUGACACUUUUGAGAAAAUUGAUAAGAUUGGUCAAGGAACGUAUAGUAAUGUAUAUAAAGCAAGGGGCACUAUAACAGGGAAGAUUAUUGCUUUAAAGAAAGUGCGGUUUGACAAUUUGCUGCAUUACCCUGCCCUCUGUGAUGCUUUCCCUCCCUGUCAAUCUGCACAUGAAUCUCCAACCUAUCUCCUCCUAACCAACAUUAACUUCCAGUUUUACAUAAAUUCUAAGGAAGGGGCACUAUAACUGAAAUUUGUUUUUUAUUUGAUGUGUAGGUAUGCUAGAGUAGAAGAACUCACUCGAUUAUGCAAAUAAUCUACUUUCUUCCAAAUGGCAAGGAAUCGAGCUUUCCUUAGAUGCCGAGAUACACAUUGGUGGUAGAAAAAGAUCAAACAGCAACAUGAUAACUGGCAUUCAGUUUUUGUUGAAUGAUUCUCAGAGUCAUGACUACAUCUGGGGAUUCUAAGAUCCGUAUUCUCGGUGGGCACGAGGUUGUCUGUAAAUACAGAGGUCUAUCAAAAUUUGGAAAUCAGAUGUCAGCUGCAUUUAUACCUCAACUAGAAAACAUGUAAUAUCUGUUGGGGAGGACUCUCGCAUUUAUCUCUGGAAAUAUAGUAGAAGAGCUCAGGUUGCUUGCUGCGGCCAAGAAUGACAGCAUAGUGAAGGAUAUGAAAAUUAGAAGGAUAAAGAAAGAGCAGGAGCAAAGAGGUGUCAAGGAAGAGCCACAUGAGGAACCCAUCACUACAGUGGAGAUGAAUGAGCUCUCUUUUGAUGAUAAAAUUGCCACCAAUGAGCUUGGAUGUUGAAUUGAUUUUCUUUUAAUAUGUAAACUUCUUUGAAUAUUGUUAAACAUUAGCAUUUGGCAAUACAAA